GGCGAGGGGAGUGAAAAAGAACCUGAAACCGUGUACGUACAAGCAGUGGGAGCACAGGUUUACCUGUGUGACUGCGUACCUUUUGUAUAAUGGGUCAGCGACUUAUAUUCUGUAGCAAGGUUAACCGUAUAGGGGAGCCGGAGGGAAACCGAGUCUUAACCGGGCGUUAAGUUGCAGGGUAUAGACCCGAAACCCGGUGAUCUAGCCAUGGGCAGGUUGAAGGUUGGGUAACACUAACUGGAGGACCGAACCGACUAAUGUUGAAAAAUUAGCGGAUGACCUGUGGCUGGGGGUGAAAGGCCAAUCAAACCGGGAGAUAGCUGGUUCUCCCCGAAAGCUAUUUAGGUAGCGCCUCGUGAAUUCAUCUCCGGGGGUAGAGCACUGUUUCGGCUAGGGGGCCAUCCCGGCUUACCAACCCGAUGCAAACUGCGAAUACCGGAGAAUGUUAUCACGGGAGACACACGGCGGGUGCUAACGUCCGUCGUGAAGAGGGAAACAACCCAGACCGCCAGCUAAGGUCCCAAAGUCAUGGUUAAGUGGGAAACGAUGUGGGAAGGCCCAGACAGCCAGGAUGUUGGCUUAGAAGCAGCCAUCAUUUAAAGAAAGCGUAAUAGCUCACUGGUCGAGUCGGCCUGCGCGGAAGAUGUAACGGGGCUAAACCAUGCACCGAAGCUGCGGCAGCGAACGUAUCACCCAAGACAACUUUACGGAGUUGACGAUUGACGGAGCGAAGCGACGUCAAAGCGUUCAUUAAAGUCGAGUUGGCUUAGGGAUACGUUCGUUGGGUAGGGGAGCGUUCUGUAAGCCUGUGAAGGUGGCCUGUGAGGGUUGCUGGAGGUAUCAGAAGUGCGAAUGCUGACAUAAGUAACGAUAAAGCGGGUGAAAAGCCCGCUCGCCGGAAGACCAAGGGUUCCUGUCCAACGUUAAUCGGGGCAGGGUGAGUCGACCCCUAAGGCGAGGCCGAAAGGCGUAGUCGAUGGGAAACGGGUUAAUAUUCCCGUACUUGGUGUUACUGCGAAGGGGGGACGGAGAAGGCUAUGUUGGCCGGGCGACGGUUGUCCCGGUUUAAGCGUGUAGGUGUGUGUUCCAGGUAAAUCCGGUUCACUUUAACACUGAGGCGUGAUGACGAGGCACUACGGUGCUGAAGCAACAAAUGCCCUGCUUCCAGGAAAAGCCUCUAAGCAUCAGGUAACAUCAAAUCGUACCCCAAACCGACACAGGUGGUCAGGUAGAGAAUACCAAGGCGCUUGAGAGAACUCGGGUGAAGGAACUAGGCAAAAUGGUGCCGUAACUUCGGGAGAAGGCACGCUGACACGUAGGUGAAGUGAUUUACUCA
RNAcentral lists this ribosomal RNA (1336 nucleotides) under Salmonella enterica subsp. enterica serovar Derby. Its description in RNAcentral is "partial 23S ribosomal RNA". It matches the Rfam family "Bacterial large subunit ribosomal RNA", at positions 528 to 1773 of the family's 2925-position model. The record is from RNAcentral. Lineage: Bacteria; Pseudomonadati; Pseudomonadota; Gammaproteobacteria; Enterobacterales; Enterobacteriaceae.